GGUGGCCAUGGAAGUUGGAAUCCGCUAAGGAGUGUGUAACACCUCACCUGCCGAAGCAACUAGCCCUGAAGAUGGAUGGCGCUCAAGCGUCGCACUUAUACUUCGCCGUCGGGGUGGGUGUCAGGCCCCGACGAGUAGGAGGGCGCAGUGGUCGUGACGCAGCCUUUGGCGCGAGCCUGGGUGAAACGGCCUCUGGUGCAGAUCUUGGUGGUAGUGGCAAAUAUUCAAAUGAGAACUUUGAAGACCGAA
Molecule: ribosomal RNA, 249 nt
Filed under: uncultured Symbiodinium
Lineage: Eukaryota; Dinophyceae; Suessiales; Symbiodiniaceae
Description: partial Eukaryotic large subunit ribosomal RNA
Rfam family: Eukaryotic large subunit ribosomal RNA
Source: RNAcentral